This 381-nucleotide ribosomal RNA is filed under the name uncultured marine Chaetocerotaceae. RNAcentral's name for it is "SSU rRNA". It matches the Rfam family "Eukaryotic small subunit ribosomal RNA", at positions 587 to 972 of the family's 1831-position model. The record is from RNAcentral. Lineage: Eukaryota; Bacillariophyta; Thalassiosirophyceae; Chaetocerotales; Chaetocerotaceae.
AGCUCCAAUAGCGUAUAUUAAAGUUGCUGCAGUUAAAAAGCUCGUAGUUGCAUUUCCGAGGCAAGGGAUUAGUCCGACCUUUGGUGGGUAUUUAAUCCUCUUGCCUCGUCCUUGAGUGGUGCUUCUUGGUAUUAAGUUAUCGAGGAGAUAGCCGCUCAUCGUUUACUGUGAGAAAAUUAGAGUGUUCAAAGCAGGCUUAUGCCGUUGAAUAUAUUAGCAUGGAAUAAUAAGAUAGGACCUCGGUACUAUUUUGUUGGUUUGAGAACCAAGGUAAUGAUGAAUAGGGACAGUUGGGGGUAUUCGUAUUCAGUUGUCAGAGGUGAAAUUCUUAGAUUUCCGAAAGACGAACUACUGCGAAAGCAUUUACCAAGGAUGUUUUCA